Long non-coding RNA from Dreissena polymorpha, 1535 nucleotides. RefSeq lists it as uncharacterized. The transcript is spliced from 3 exons. The record is from RefSeq and is a predicted model, not a curated record. NCBI's taxonomy places the organism in Eukaryota, Metazoa, Mollusca, Bivalvia, Myida, Dreissenidae.
UCGUCUGGAACACACACAUUAUUUGACCCGCGCGCGCACCGUUGACUUGGUAACGGUGGUAACGAUUGCAGAUGACAUCAACCUCAGGGUGUGGGCUCGAUCCCGGGACAAAAAGAGGACCACAGAUCGGCAGGCCAGGACACUGGCGCCAAUAGAAAGGAUCGAGACGUGUUCCACUGGGCCACCAGGAUGCGUUGUUCGUGACCGGCAGUGCGGGAGAGGACUCACCGAACAAAGCGGCGUGUAUGAUGUCGGCAGACUGGAAUACCGCGCCAUCCGAGAACUUGUUAGACGACGGGUUUUAUUUCGCUCUUUGCUAAUUGUAUGUGUAUUGCUCCCAUUUGCUUCAAUGAAUUUCGACAACAUAUAAUGAUGACGUCUAUAUGAGCCCCGUUCUGUGAAAAGCAGGGUUCAUUCACGUGCGUAAAUUGUCGUCCCAGAUUAGCCUGUGCAGUCCGCACAAGCUAAUCAGGAACGACAAUUUCCACGUUUGUUGAUUUUUUUCGUUAAAAUAAAGUCUCUUUUAAACGAAAUUUCAGUGUGGAAACUGUCGUCCCUGAUUAACCUCUGCGGACUGCACACUCUACGCAAUGCGUUAAGCCCAGUCUUUCCCAGAACGCGGCUCAUAUAAAUAAUCCAUUAAUUACAGUUUUGUUUUCAAAUAUUUUUUAUUGAGUUUCUUGUAUGUAAUUAUUCUUUCUACACUUAAAGCGUCCAUAUUUUGGUAAAAUGUUGCAUUCCCCGUGAAAAUUAUUCGAUACUUAAGAUACGUUCAUGAUUAAUUUGAUUACAAAACAGUCCAAUUAAGUAAACUUUUCAAAAAAUAACAAAAUAUCGUGCGUCAUACUUGCAAGCGUUAUAUUCAUCAGUAGGUGGCCUGCAAUGCAAACAUGAGGUUUUACGAAGCAGACAACAGAUCAGUGGUCAUAGAAAUUUACGAUAAGUUUUACUUGUUUGACCUUGAAAAGAUGGACGUCAGCAUCGUGUUUCCGGGUCGAGUAGUCGAUACACGAGUGUGUAUCUUGACCAAACGGAAGCGCACGUACAAUUCUAAUUUACAUUUUACAAUUCAUGUGUGGAGGUGGCAGUAUUCACAACAUAGUUAUUAAAUAUUCCGUAUUGGUGUGUCAUUACUAUUCCGCGUCACUAAGAAAUCAAAUUCAUGAUUUAAAGAUUUUGCUAACUGAACGAUUUGGGUCAGAACGUGUUAGAAACCGUUCCGCCCACUGUAUCUCUGUCAAUGACGUCAUUCUUCCAUUGUAGAACUCCUCGUGGCGUCACGUUUUGGCAAGAACGUGAAACGGUACAACAUCACAAACGGCUGCAUUGACGCCAUAAUAAAAACUGGACACAAGAAGGAGAUCUACCAAGUUGUGGUGAACGAUCCGGGAACGCUCGCUGCAGUGACGGUAGUUUUUGGACCUGUAGUGUUGAUGGACCUUGUCGCUCACUCUCGCAUGUAUGAGAUCUCAAACAGUACGUUCAGGAGAUGCGAAAGUAUCUUUUCCUCUCAAAAUUAAACAUACGUUGGAAUU